This 2638-nucleotide long non-coding RNA is filed under the name Naja naja (Indian cobra). RNAcentral describes it as "lncRNA (ENSNNAG00000016748.1)". The record is from RNAcentral. Lineage: Eukaryota; Metazoa; Chordata; Lepidosauria; Squamata; Elapidae.
AACAAACUUGUGGGCUGAGUGGCAGCAUUACAAGCAUUGCAGGAUCCAAAUUCAGGCGCUUGGCACCUGGCUCACAUUUACGACCGUCGGAGUGUCCCUGGGGGUCACGUGAAGUGAUCCCCUUUUGCGACCUUCUGAUAAGCCAGUGGGGAAGCCAGAUUUGCUUAACGACCGCAUGAUUCAUGCAGUCAUUAAGCAAAAUGAACAUGCAGCUGUUAGUGAUUUGCUUCUCAACUGUGGGAAGAAAUGUCAGAACUCGCUUGACAAAUGCCUCGCUUAGCAACAGAAAUGCUGGGCCCAAUUGUGGUCGUAAGUCAAGGACUACCUGUAUCAAGGGAGAGUGCUUGAAAUGGGGGCUAGAAACCCUCUCCCCCCUUGUUUUCCCUCUCUGCAGAGCCUGAUGCCGAGGUGGCCCACCUGGAGGAGAACUUCUCCCAGAACGGGUCGCUGCCCCAGACGCCGGAGCCGGAGAGAUACCUCAAGAACCACUUUGAAACUGGCUGGCGACCCCCUUGAAGGUAAACAGGCAGCGGUCUCUGCCAGGCGCAAGAAACCAGGCUGGGGAUGGAGUUCCAAAGCACCACCAGCGCAUUUCAUGCAGCCUGGACUCAGGAAUUCAACCUAAUUUAGGGUCAAGGCUGGUAAUUGGAACCAUAGAAGAGUUUAAAGAUUCUAGAUUUUAACUUAGAUGCUCCUAGACUAGGUAACAUCAUCAGCAAACUCCACUCCCUAUGGGCACUGAUGGUGUUGCCUAGUAGGGUCUUCAAGAAAACCACCCAACUCAGAGAGCACCAAGGACCCCAGAGUUCUCUUCCUCCUCCUCCUUCCCACAAAUCCCACUGUCUUCUACCCCUGAUGAUGUUCCCUAGAUGGGUCAUGAAAUGUUUUCAGGAAAACCACCAAGCGGAGAGAGCGCCAAGGAGCCCACAAAUCAGCCCCGAGCUACCAAAGUUGCCUUCUAUUGGCACUUGGACAAAUUCUCUGCCUUCCUUUUUGUGCACAGAAACGUUUGACGGUUGCAUCAGAGACUGGCAGUCGUUUGGGGAGAGUGAGGACGGAGGGAGCCCGCUUCUGAAUCCUCGCCUGAGCAUCUCCGCCAGGUUUCUCUCGCGCGCUCAGAAGAACUGCAGGUUGGCUGCUUCUGCUCACGCUGGCUCUCCAUUUGUGGGGGCGCUUCGCCUGGAAACCGGCUCUGAGGUGCUUCUCUUCCCUACAGAUUUGCGGCUGCAUUUUUCCCAAGAGUCUGCCCGCUGGUGCAGGCAGCCACUGCCGAACACCUCUCAGAGGAGUGCGUACCACUCAGCGAUUUCACAAAACUCAAGGCAAAUCUUAAACCUCCCCCAGAAACCCACCCUGAGGUGAAAGGAAGCCUCGAGGCCCAAACAUCCAGUGUUUCAGAAAUUCAGGCUCUCGUCAAAAAUUUUGAGGGCAGCUUGCAGUCCCUACGCCUCAAAUUUCAAGAGACUUUGCAACUGUACGAUAAGGUAAGGGGGUGACUCUGGCAAUUUUACAAAAAGAAAAAAAAAAGAGGAAAGAAAGAUGGGGGUUUUUACUUGGAUGGGUGUGUGCCAGGUUUCUAAAAUGUGCUUUGUGCUACAUCAGAGAUGUCCAACCUCGGUCCCGUCAAGAUUUGUGGACUUCAACUCCCAGAAUUCCCCAACCAGCGGUGCUGGGAGUUGAAGUCCACCCAUCUUCAAUUGUAUGCUGGCUUAGGGAAAUUCUGGGAGUUGAAGUCCACGGGUCUUUUAAAGGGACCAAGGUUGGACACCUCUGUGUUAUAUUCUAAGAUACUCCUUUGAUCAUCUCUGUCCAUAAGGUGUGAUAAAACAAACAUGGCAGCACAUAUUGAAAAAUGUAGAGCUUUUAACCUCAUGGCCAUCUUGACCACCACCUCCUCCUAUCCCCACCCCAGUCACUUCGGGGGCAAGGAAAUCCUUGCUUCGCCCGGGCAUAGGCAGGGGGCCGUGCCAGAAAGCAUUCCCAAUGUUUCAGGUGUUGUCCGGCCCCAGUGGGACCAAGGAGGAGCUCGUCCAUGUCCAGCACAGGCUUUCUAGCACCUUCUGCUGGAUGAAGAGUGAGCUGGCGGCCAGAGACAGCAAUGGCAAGGCCGACGUUGCCACCGCCACCGACCCCUCGUCCUUCUGGCCGAUGUGCCUCCAGGAGGGUGAGGCCCACGCGCUCCUGAAGCACUACUCUGACUCUCUCCUGAACGUGGUUCAGAAGAAGCUGGAGGAGGCCCGGAAAACCAGCCUGCCUUGAAGGGCCCCCGUUCCUGCCCCGUCCGCACGUUGGCCACACACGGAGGUCCGUUUCAGUGGGACUCACGAGGAGCUGAGACCGUGUGACAUGAGCACCGAUUCACAUGUUGCCUUUUAGCACUUUGUUCACAUCCAUAGGAAAAUCUCAAAGGUUCGCCCAGAAACGCUGACAGUGUGAACACCUCCUUUUAUGGGAAAAGAAAUAAUAAUAAUAAUGUUUUUAUAAGACCAAGGAAAGAAGGAUAAAAUUCAAAAGGGGCAUCUUGAAAUUCUCCUAUGGUGGUUGUUUUAAACUCGGGUUGCAUCACGGCUUUGUAACCGUUUACUCUUUUUUUUACAAGGCUUUAAAUAUAAUAAAGUAUUUUUGGAUUUGAAAGAGA